Molecule: transfer RNA, 72 nt
Filed under: Pavlovales sp. CCMP2436
Lineage: Eukaryota; Haptophyta; Pavlovophyceae; Pavlovales
Description: tRNA-Thr
Rfam family: tRNA
About the family: Transfer RNA (tRNA) molecules are approximately 80 nucleotides in length. Their secondary structure includes four short double-helical elements and three loops (D, anti-codon, and T loops). Further hydrogen bonds mediate the characteristic L-shaped molecular structure. tRNAs have two regions of fundamental functional importance: the anti-codon, which is responsible for specific mRNA codon recognition, and the 3' end, to which the tRNAs corresponding amino acid is attached (by aminoacyl-tRNA synthetases). tRNAs cope with the degeneracy of the genetic code in two manners: having more than one tRNA (with a specific anti-codon) for a particular amino acid; and 'wobble' base-pairing, i.e. permitting non-standard base-pairing at the 3rd anti-codon position.
Source: RNAcentral
GCCUUCGUAGCUCAGUGGCAGAGCGCGGCACUCGUAAUGCUGAGGUCCCGAGUUCAAUUCUCGGUGGAGGCU